GGGGGCGCACUGGUUUCGACCUGUUGGAUGCGCCGGUGGCGGCAUGCCGAGGAUGAUCCGUUGGCCUCGUUAAUCAUCGGAUCGAACCAAAACAGCCAACGAAGAAUUGGCACUCGCGGCCUAAUGCCGUGACGUUCACCGCCUGACACCUGCUAGGGUGGCUGAACGAAGGCAGCAGGUUGGGUCGGGUGUGGGGUUUGCUGCGCAGCCGGCCGAGAUAAAAACAGCGAAAUAGACUUGGCGGCUCGAGUCGGAUCGGUACCGCCGGUCGAAUACUCUUAUCCGACUAAGCAUGUAGUCGCAGCCGGUUAUUCUGUCAGGGACGCGGGUUCGAUUCCCGCCGCCUCCACCA
RNAcentral lists this transfer-messenger RNA (352 nucleotides) under Verrucomicrobiia. RNAcentral describes it as "JAAYVR01 sp012517065 X1 Standard tmRNA". It matches the Rfam family "transfer-messenger RNA". Rfam says of the family: Bacterial tmRNA, also known as 10Sa RNA or SsrA, is named for its dual tRNA and mRNA-like properties. Its role is to liberate the mRNA from a stalled ribosome. To accomplish this part of the tmRNA is used as a reading frame that ends in a translation stop signal. Lineage: Bacteria; Pseudomonadati; Verrucomicrobiota. The record is from RNAcentral. RNAcentral also lists the same sequence under 1 other name.